AACUGAGAAUGACUAAAAUUAGUCAAGCUGAGGAAAUUAGAGAAUUAGUCCUUUAAAUUUUUUUGGUCCUAAAAAUUGUGAAAUGCAGUAUGUCACAUGGGG
Gavialis gangeticus (Gharial) is the source of this 102-nucleotide long non-coding RNA. RefSeq lists it as uncharacterized. The transcript is spliced from 4 exons. The record is from RefSeq and is a predicted model, not a curated record. NCBI's taxonomy places the organism in Eukaryota, Metazoa, Chordata, Crocodylia, Gavialidae.